AUGGUACCACCCUUCAUGAAGGACAGCAAUAGCCUUCCGGCUGGAGGGAAGAUGGCAGUCCUUGCCAGCAAGCUAGCUUCUUUAGCACAGGUCACAACAACUCGCCAUCUCCUUGCCUGGGCUUGCCUUGCUAAGGGAUCUGCUUUGCCUUGUUUGUAUUUGUCUGGGUCUAACCAGAAAAACAGAAAAUCCUUCAAAUAUUUAUAUAACAGGAAAUUCACUACAGGGCAUUGGUUGCUCAGGUGAUGGAGGAGAUCUCUAUGGGGGACGUGACUUUGAUAAACACACCCAGUGGCACUGAUUUUGCAAAGCCUCAAUAGGUACAUUUCUGCUAUGGUUAUUUGCAGCAACAUGGAUACAUCUAGAGAUUCUCAUACUAAGUGAAGUAAAUCAGAAAGAGAAUGACAGGGAGUUCCCAUUGUGGCUUAGCAGAAAUGAAUCCGACUGGUAUCCAUGAGGAUGCAGGUUCAAUCCCUUGCCCCAGUGGGUUAAGGAUUCGGCAUUGCUGUGAGCUGUGGUGUAGGUCACAGGUGUGGCUCAGAUCCUGUGCUGCUGUGGCCAUGGUCACAAAUACCAUAUGAUAUCACGUAUAGGUUCAUUUAUGCCAUAUUUUAGAUUGCACAUAUCUGCAAAACAAAUAGACUCAUGGACACAGAGAACAGACUUGUGGUUGCCAAGGUGGGUGGGGAGGGAGUGGAAUGGACUGGGAAUUUGGGCUUGGUAGAUGCAAACUAUUACCUUUAGAAUGGGUAAGCACUGAGGUCCUACUAUAUAGCACAGGAAACUACAUUCAAUCUCUUGGGGUAGACCAUGAUGGAAAACAGUAUGAGAAGAAGAAUGUAUAUAUAUAUAAAUGACUGUCUCACUAUGCUGUGCAGCAGAAAUGACACAACACUGUAAAUCAACUAUACUGUAAUAAAAAUAAAGUAAAAAAGCAAAAAACACUUAUGUCAUAUGAUAUAAUACAAUAUAAUCUAACAAACAGUAACUAAAAUUUAUUGAGCAUUCACUGUGAUGGACAGGGUGAAAAGUACUUUCCUUGCAUGAUUGCUUAUGAUCACAUUCAUGGUAUAAGUUCCAUUAUUAUCCAGAGGUUGGUAACUCACCGAAAGCCACACCAUUGGAUGGUGAACUCAGGAUACCAGGGGUCCAGGCUGUCUGCCUCCAGAACCCCCAUCUCACUCCUGACUUUGCCACUUUGAUGUCUGCUUCCAAUGUGCCUUUUCUCCUCUAGGCUGUGAAGGGAUAGCUUAGUGACAAGUCCAGGUGGUAGCAAAAAACACAGCAGUGACAGUGUCAGUGAAAAAUAGCUCAUUGGGACUCUGGAUUGGGAACAAAUGUUCAACU
RNAcentral lists this long non-coding RNA (1347 nucleotides) under Sus scrofa (pig). Its description in RNAcentral is "lncRNA (ENSSSCG00065040536.1)". The record is from RNAcentral. Lineage: Eukaryota; Metazoa; Chordata; Mammalia; Artiodactyla; Suidae.